This 253-nucleotide ribosomal RNA is filed under the name uncultured bacterium. RNAcentral's name for it is "partial 16S ribosomal RNA". It matches the Rfam family "Bacterial small subunit ribosomal RNA", at positions 524 to 776 of the family's 1533-position model. The record is from RNAcentral.
UACGUAGGGUGCGAGCGUUAAUCGGAAUUACUGGGCGUAAAGCGUGCGCAGGCGGUUUUGUACGACAGAGGGGAAAUCCCCGGGCUCAACCUGGGAACUGCCUUUGUGACUGCAAGGCUUGAGUGCGGCAGAGGGGGAUGGAAUUCCGCGUGUAGCAGUGAAAUGCGUAGAUAUGCGGAGGAACACCGAUGGCGAAGGCAAUCCCCUGGGCCUGCACUGACGCUCAUGCACGAAAGCGUGGGGAGCAAACAGG